GACGAACGCUGGCGGCGUGCUUAACACAUGCAAGUCGAACGGAAAGGCCCUGCUUUUGUGGGGUGCUCGAGUGGCGAACGGGUGAGUAACACGUGAGUAACCUGCCCUUGACUUUGGGAUAACUUCAGGAAACUGGGGCUAAUACCGGAUAGGAGCUCCUGCUGCAUGGUGGGGGUUGGAAAGUUUCGGCGGUUGGGGAUGGACUCGCGGCUUAUCAGCUUGUUGGUGGGGUAGUGGCUUACCAAGGCUUUGACGGGUAGCCGGCCUGAGAGGGUGACCGGCCACAUUGGGACUGAGAUACGGCCCAGACUCCUACGGGAGGCAUCAGUGGGGAAUAUUGCACAAUGGGCGGAAGCCUGAUGCAGCAACGCCGCGUGCGGGAUGACGGCCUUCGGGUUGUAAACCGCUUUCGCCUAUGACGAAGCGUGAGUGACGGUAAUGGGUAAAGAAGCACCGGCUAACUACGUG
Molecule: ribosomal RNA, 468 nt
Filed under: uncultured bacterium
Lineage: Bacteria
Description: partial 16S ribosomal RNA
Rfam family: Bacterial small subunit ribosomal RNA
Source: RNAcentral